GUUACGUAUAUGACGACGUCAUUACAAACUCCUCGAGGGAAUGACGUCAGAGAUCGGUGAC
Ciona savignyi (Pacific transparent sea squirt) is the source of this 61-nucleotide non-coding RNA. Lineage: Eukaryota; Metazoa; Chordata; Ascidiacea; Phlebobranchia; Cionidae. The record is from Rfam.